Non-coding RNA from Bos taurus (domestic cattle), 72 nucleotides. Lineage: Eukaryota; Metazoa; Chordata; Mammalia; Artiodactyla; Bovidae. The record is from Rfam.
UCCCUUGUGGCUCAGCUGGUAAAGAAUCUGCCUGCAAUGCGGGAGACCUGGGUUCAAUCCCUGGUUUGGGAA